GCCCACCCGGUGCCGAAGUUUCCCCUCUUUGCUUCUACAGAUAAGAGAAGGUCUCGCAGCCCACGGGGGCCAUCUCCAUCCUCCCCGCCCACUCCAUCCCGCACUAAAAAAACCCGAGCCAUGGCAGCGUUCCACCCCCUGGUCGCCUCGCGCGUCCGCCUCACCACCCCGCUCCUCCCCGUCGCCGCGCCCGCCGCCGCCGCCGCAGCCGGGGUCUCCUUCCACCGGCGCCGCUUCUCCGCCAUCGUCGCCGCGGCGACCGCGCCCGCGGCCACCGGGUUCGACUUCAACUCCUACAUGGGGGAGCGGGCGGUGGCCGUGAACAGCGCCCUGGACGCGGCCGUCCCGGCCGGCGAGCCCCCCGCGGCGCUCCACGAAGCGAUGCGCUACGCGCUGCUGGCCGGGGGCAAGCGCGUGCGCCCGGCCCUCUGCCUGGCCGCCUGCGUCGUGUCCGGCGGCCGCGAGGCCUGGGCGAUGGCCCCCGCCGCCGCGGUCGAGAUGGUGCACACCAUGUCGCUCGUGCACGACGACCUCCCCUGCAUGGACGACGACAACCUCCGCCGCGGCAAGCCCACCUGCCACGUCAUGUACGGCGAGCCCAUCGCCGUGCUCGCCGGCGACGCCCUGCUCGCGCUCGCCUUCCAGCACAUGGCCAGCGUCGACUCCUACCCUCCGGAUGUCGACCCCGCCAAGCACACCGCCCGCGUCGUCCGGGCCAUUGGUGAGCUCGCGCGCUGCAUCGGAUCAGAGGGCCUCGUCGCCGGCCAGGUUGUUGAUCUGGAGAUGACUGGCUCAACUGAGACUGUACCACUUGACCGCCUUGAGUACAUCCAUCUGCACAAGACUGCUGCCUUGCUUGAGGCCUCAGUGGUUAUUGGAGCAAUCAUCGGGGGUGGCUCAGAAGAGCAGAUUGAGCGGUUGCGCAAGUACGCGAGAUCAAUUGGGUUGCUGUUCCAGGUGGUUGAUGACAUUCUUGAUGUGACCAAGUCAUCAGAGGAGCUAGGGAAGACAGCUGGGAAGGACUUGGCGAGUGACAAAACGACAUACCCCAAGUUACUAGGGUUGGAGAAGUCACGGGAAUUUGCGGAGAAGUUGCUUUCUGAUGCAAAGGAGCAACUUGCUGAUUUUGAUAAAGAGAAGGCAGCACCGCUAUUGUACUUGGCCAAUUAUAUUGCCUAUCGGCAGAACUAAGGUGAUGGUUAUUCUGUUGUUUGUUGUUGAUCUGUAACUUUGUAAGACCAUCAAGUCUGGGAUUUGAGGAAUAUCUGAAUUCUUCCCCUCAUAUAUACUAGUUUAGUUUUCUACCGUUGUGUCAUGAGAAUAUUUAGGUGACAAAUGCCACAUGAGUUAGGUGGCAAAUACCAAUGUCCCAUUGAGAUAGCCAAGACAUUAUAAUGGGAAUCAGCCUUUAUGUCCUAUACUGUCUGGAUGAUAAUAAAUCAAUUGAUUUCGAAAGAA
Molecule: ribosomal RNA, 1458 nt
Filed under: Triticum aestivum (bread wheat)
Lineage: Eukaryota; Viridiplantae; Streptophyta; Magnoliopsida; Poales; Poaceae
Description: partial small subunit ribosomal RNA
Source: RNAcentral